This is a long non-coding RNA of Coccinella septempunctata (seven-spotted ladybird), 1784 nucleotides long. RefSeq lists it as uncharacterized. NCBI's taxonomy places the organism in Eukaryota, Metazoa, Arthropoda, Insecta, Coleoptera, Coccinellidae. The transcript is spliced from 4 exons. The record is from RefSeq and is a predicted model, not a curated record.
CUGAAGAUUCAUGAAUUAGACAGAUUGAUAAUGAAAGAUUAACCCCUGUACUAUAUACUUUGAUUGGUUAAUAAAUCGCCGAAUGGAAAGAUUAAAAUCGAGUCAAUUUUCAAAAUUAAAAUUUGAGAAUCAAUGAGUUUAUCGUUUCAACAAAUAUCAACCUAUCAGCUUCCUUUGAAUUUAUGUGGUUUGUAAUUUUCGAUAAAUCUCAAUACACAAGAAAUCAUUCAACUAUGAUUAUUUGAUCGGAAAAUCAACGUUAAGUGGAACUUGCAGUUAAUCUGUUCAAUCAAGAAAACAUCACAGUGUUUCCCAAAUUUCUUCAAGAUUUUGAGAAUAUAACUUUUUUCGGAUUUCAAAUAGGCGACUUAAAAACUGUUUCGUUUUGGAUUUUCAUCGAAUAUCAAUUCGAUAUUUUCAAGUAAGCAUUCAUUCGUGAAACAAUGCGCUGGAAAGAGCAAUCUAGUAUUUAGGACGGAAAGUAUGAAGCAAGAAAUUCUGCCCAAAAAAAAUUUAUGCGUGAUAUUUCCUUUGAAGUGUUGCUCUUCAAUGGUUUUAUGGAUUUGUUCCUAUUCGUGAUUCAACUCGUUUUCAAUUGAUACCUCCUUGUCUUGUAUGUUGGGGUUUUCGGCAAAGAACUUUCUGCCUGAACUAUUUUCUGAUCUAUGCAACCUCCGGUUAUACCAGAUAUAUCCUACUACUUUCUAAUCGCAAGUAACACACCCAGUAUAUUUUUAUGUAUUCUGUUUAUCAGUUAUUGGGAUUCUUAUGAAAAAACACCGUGUAAUCGUUAGGUCACACUUGUGUGAAUAUUUCUGCUGGGGAGGUUUUACUUCAGAAAAAUGUACAGGAUGAUUAUUAGAAACUCAUCAAGUUAGACAAAUCGAAUUAAUCGAAACUAGAGAUUUUCAAAUUGCGACUUCAUUACAUAUUUCAGACCAUUUCAGAAAAUAAAGGGGAAGUUACCUGAAUCAACCCUAUAUCUUAAAUGAAAACUUUCAGGGUUGUAAAACUAAAGUAAAACGGCAAUUUAGCCCUGUUUCGUUAGACUGUCACUUCCGGAAACGACAGAAGUAACUAAAAUCAGAUGUUCCGUCAAAUCAUUUUGACAUUUCAUGAAUUUUUUAUAGAUGUCCAACAAUGACAACAAACACCGUAUGGAAUACAAUUCACAAAAUGUCAAUAGUAUAUUAUUUCUUUAGAAGAAGAGUCACUUUUAAUGGCGAGCCUGUGUUUGCCAGCCGAACGUAGUGAAGGCGAGCCAUGAAAACUCACUUCUCCUCCGAAUGAAACGUGCCUUUUUCCGAACCUUUUGAAAUUCAUUAAUCUGUAUAUCAACCUUUGGAAUAGAUUUUUACAAUCGUUAUAAUUGAGUGAAUAAAGUAAAAUGUGGCUAGUAGUCAUAUUUAACAUACUCUCGAUUGUGGCGGUGGAAAAGUAAUUCAUCGCCGUUGACAUAGCAAUACUUUUCCUCCCGGCCUAAGCAAGAAAAAAAUUCGAAAAAGCCUCUACAUAAUAAGUGUUCGAAAAAAUGUGAUCUCCUGUUCUCACUAUUUUUUUCAUAAGAGUCCCAAUAACUCAUAAACCGAUGAGUUUUCACUCAAUGUAUGGUAUGCUGAUGAAAUUUCUAUCAAAUCUUACAAUAUAUUGGGUGUGCCAUUUGAAAUGAGAAAGAAGUAGUUGCAGAGGUCUGAAAAUAUCUAAGGGAGAAAAUUCAUUGUCGAAAACCCCAACAGCAAAAAAUGUGAUUAGUAAUCCAUUAACGCCUGAUAGACCAUUGCGGU